UACCUUGAUAAUAACCAACUUCAAGGUUCAAUCCCUUCUUGUGUUGGUAGUUUAUCAAAGAUGCAGUACUUAAGCCUUGAUUCUAAUCUAUUAAAAGGUCCUAUUCCCCAAGAAAUUUGUAAUCUAGCAAAUUUAACUUCAUUGUACCUCUCCCAAAACAAAUUGACAGGUUCAAUCCCUUCUUGUAUUGGUAGCUUAUCAAAGAUGCAGUACUUAUGACUUGAUUCUAAUCUAUUAAAAGGUCCUAUUCCCCAAGAAAUUUGUAAUCUAGCAAAUUUAACUUCAUUGUACCUCUCCCAAAACAAAUUGACUGGUUCAAUCCCUUCUUGUAUUGGUAGUUUAUCAAAGAUGCAGUACUCAAGCCUUACUUCUAAUCUAUUAAAAGGUCCUAUUCCCCAAGAAAUUUGUGAUCUAGCAAAUUUAACUUCGUUGUACCUCUCCCAAAAUAAAUUGACUGGUUCAAUCCCUUCUUGUAUUGGUAGUUUAUCAAAGUUGCAGUACUUAAGCCUUGCUUCUAAUCUAUUAAAAGGUUCUAUCCCAAAAGAAAUUGGCAAGCUUUUUGAUCUAUCAAAUCUAAACCUUAGCUUCAACCAACUCUCAGGUCCUAUCCCUAUCUUGUCUGCUACUCAUCUCUACAUUGUCGACGCUGGAAAUGGUUGUCAAAAGAUUUUUCCCGAUCCAUUUGAAGGCAAUAGUGAUUUAUCACCCUAUAUGUGUCCUACUCCAGUUACCAAAAAAGCCAACAGCAGCAGAAUUCCUUACCAUUUCAAAAUAUUCCUCCCUAUUGCGAUCUUAUUCACAAUCUCCAUUUUAGGAUGUUUGCUAUUUUCACGGUUUAAGCUCAAGAAUAACCAUGUCAACGUACAACCAACCAAGAAUGGGGAUUUGUGUUCCAUAUGGAACUAUGAUGGAAAGAUAGCAUACGAGGAUAUCGUUGCAGCAACAGAGGAUUUCGACUUCCGAUACUGUAUUGGAGUUGGUGGUUAUGGUAGUGUUUACAAAGCAGAACUCCCUUGUGGUAAAGUAGUUGCUUUGAAGAAACUUCAUCAUUUAGAAGCCGAAAAUCCAACUUUUGACAGGAGUUUCAGGAACGAGAUCAAGUUUCUAUCAGAAAUACGACAUCGAAACAUUGUGAAGCUUCACGGGUUUUGUCUACACCGACGAUCCAUGUUUUUGAUCUAUGAAUACAUGGAAAAAGGGAGUUUGUUCUGCAACCUAAGGGAUGAAGUGAAUGCUGUGGAAAUGGAUUGGACGAAAAGAGUAGAGAUCAUCAAAGGCAUAGCACAUGCUUUGUCUUACUUGCACCAUGAUUGCUGCCCUCCGAUAGUUCAUCGAGACAUAUCAAGUAACAAUGUUCUUUUAAACUCAAGUUUUGAGGCCUUUGUGGCCGACUUUGGAACAGCUAGAAUGUUGGAUCUUGAUUCAUCUUAUCGGACCAUUAUUGUCGGAACUUGUGGCUGCGUAGCUCCAGGUGGCGUUUUCUUUUUUUACUUGAUUUACUGACCUUUUCUCUGAACAUAUAAUUGAAUUUCUUCUUACUAAUUUGUGUAUGUAGAACUUGCUUAUACAAUGAUUGUCACCGAAAAAUGCGAUGUUUAUAGUUUUGGAGUGGUAGCACUGGAAAUAUUGAUGGGAAAGCAUCCUGAAGAAAUGUUAUCAUGGUUGUCAUCACCAACUUCUUUGGUAAACAUGAAGCUGAUUGAUGUGUUAGACAACCGUUUACCACUUCCAACAAGCCAACUAGUUACACAAAAUCUUGUUCAUGUUGCUACACUGGCUUUCGCUUGCUUAAAUCCACAACCGAAGUCCAGACCAACAAUGAAGGAAGUGUGUGAAGAGUUCCUUUCUCGCCAUACAUCCUUGGGAAUUCCUCUUCGGAUGAUCUCUUUGUUACAACUCAUGAACCGUGAAAUGCAUAUUGGAGGCAAAACUAAAACUUGUGGUGUUUGAAGUCCAUGCGCUUUUUGAUUAGAUACUGUUUAUCAUACUCUGAUAACUUGUUUGUAAACCAUCUCUGGUUUUAUAUAUGAUGGAAUGAAUUGCAAUGUUUAAUAAACCUGUUUAUUCGGUUGCUUUAGAAGACAUAAAUUCUGCAAUUUGAUCCAAAUAUUAAGACAUCAUCGCUGGCUGCUUCCUUGAAUUUUGUGCUUCUUUCAAACCAACUCAAAGAUAAAUAACAUAAAAGUAAAUUAAGGGUGAAUUUAUCAACCACUGCACAAGUAGUGUGUAUUUCUUUUGUUAUGCAUAUAAGCACAACUCCUCAUAUAUGAAUUAUCUACCAAAUACUCACGAAAGGCUUUUCAGAAAAUAGUAGUUAGUAAAGCCAUCCAGGAGGGAAUAUGCUACUAACGUGGAACGGGCAAAAUUACAUGGUAAAUAUGUCUUCAUGAGACUGCUGUAUUUCUUUAAGAACCAAAAGCACCAUAAGUGAAGGCAAAAUAGUUUAUUGUCUCAACUCUUUAUAUCCCCAUACCUCAUUGUGCAAUGAAUAAAGUACAUCAAGCAGGGAUUUGUCCCUGGCCAUAAAUAUAUCGCACUGGUCUUUGCUUUAUACAAAUUUCUUGAAACACAACUCUGAAAUUUUAAUAUUUGGAACCCCUAAGCUACCUGAAAUAACUGCAAGUUACCAUGACUAAAGUGCAUACAUACAUAUAUGAAAGUUUCUCAAGCAAUGAUAAGAUAAUUAAUUGCUAAAAAUCUUUAUUGAUUUUGUGGAGAGACAAUCAGACAAGUCAUGUCAGAUUAAUGAUGGGACAAAAAGGUUUUCUGGACUUUUAAAAGUUAUGAAUGCAUCUAUCAGGCUCAAGCAUUUCCAACAUCUAAUUUAUGGCUUACAUCUCAAAGCAAUGAAUGCAAAGCAUCAGGCUUAAAGAUCAUAAUAUGCACAAAAAAUGUAGUGGCCCUACAAGGUUUGCAUCAUGUCAUGCAUGCAUAGAUACAUUACAUUACUACAAGCAAAUUUACAGCUUUAUUGGUCUACAACACGGUAGCAUAAUUAGAAACUAUCAAACAUGUCGGAGCGUGCAUGUCUGAAUCUACAAAGGCAAAAAUAUACAGGUUUCUUCUCACUGCAGUAUAGUAUAAACAAACUUCUAUUGCCUGUAAAGGAUGGAAGAUGCUAACUCAAGCCUUACAACAGUGCAUACAUCACAAGAUGCAUGCGAGCCAAUGGUGCUUCAAGAGACAUGAAAAUUUACACAGUUAGAAUCUUCACGUUUACCCCGAAAAUUCAGACUUCAAACAAUAGAAAAUGGUAGACGAACUAGCUUUUAUAGUGUCAAACAUGCUGCAUUACAACAAAAUAUUCAGAUUGUUCUUCUCCGGUAAAACAAAAGGUUAACAUUUAGGGAUUAAAACAAACGGAAAAUGAAAAAAUAAUUGGAAACAGACUAUUAAACAAAAUAAUUUCCAAUAUAUAUAUGCUAAAUAAAAACCCAAAAUGGCAAUCGGUCUUGAAUCCCAAUCACUUAACAAUUCAAGAAACAAAUUCCAAUUCCAAAAAAUCCCAGUCUCUUAACAAAACAAAAACCAAAUAUACCAAAUACCCUUUCCCUUACACACAAAAGCUAAUUCAAGAGAUUACCAAAAAAAACACUAAUUCAAGAACCAAGCUUGAAAAACAACCAAAACCCCCAAUUAAAAUCUUGGUCAGCUUACCCUGAAAAAUCACAUAGAAAGAGAAAAAGAGAAACUCACAUGUGGCCAUGGAGAAAGCAACGAAUUUACAGAGUAACCAAAAUACAAUAACUUUGAAGAACAAAAAUAAUCAGGGAAAUAACAAAAGAGAAAAGCAAUAAGUUAAACCCCAUGAAGGAAAUUCCAACUGCUCAUUUACAGAGUAAUCAAAAUAAAAUAUAGUGAUAUAACUUGAUAGGAUUGGAAAGCUAGAUUUUGAAGUUUCUUCAAAAUGCAGACUUGGUAAGGACGACGAGAUAACAAGACUCGGAUUCGGAGAUGAGGCCAACGAAUAGAGAUGAGGAGGAGAGGCGGAGGCUGAUGGACAAAGAGGAAGGAGAACGACUGUUGUGAUGAGAGUGGAGGAAAAUGGAAAAUGUCUUACCGAAAUAAAAUUGGUAAGAAGUUUUCCAUAAAAGGCCGUUUCAUUUACCCUUGGUUUAGAAAAUGUUUUCUGAAGUAAUUUAUUUUUCAUCAAACAAAUACAGUAAAAUAAAAAAAAAUAUUUUACGGAAAAUAUUUUACUAAUAAAUAAACAGAGCCUAAGUAUUGCAUUGCAAAAGAUAUAAUAUCACCCAUAUCAACAAUAUAAACGGACAGACAUAUUAAAAUUUAAAUUUAAAUUCAUAAAAAUUUAUGUACUUAUAUUCAUGCAUUUAUUCAAACACAAGAAAGAUAUAUAAAUUUACAAGAACCAACACGAUGUCAAAUCAAUAUAAUUCCUUCCUUCAAUACAAACAUCGUGUGACAUCAACCAACAUAAAGAAGAUAACAAAAAGUAUGGCCUAGUUUCAGCACUCUUUUAAGGCAGUUACUAAAAGUUGUUUUCAACCAAGUUAAAAAGCAUAUCAAGAAAUCAAGUUAAGGAGGACUUCGAAUGAAAGUUGACAAGAAAUUUUGCAGAGAUGGAUGUACUAUCCACGAUCCGUUCUAACAAUUUGAUCUUUAGUCUUACCUUCUAUUAUAAGAAUGAGUAGCCUUUGUUUCUGGCAAUUUUUGAUUGGUUCCAAUACUCACUAAUAAGAAAGAUUUUUAUUUUCUGAAUACGUAUAUAACCUGAAUCCAUUCUAUAUCAACAACAACGAUAAUACACAUGAUGGAGUGAUAGAUUACAAGUUUCCAUACAAGAUUUCACACAUACAAUAAAAGAAAAAUAAGUGAAUUAAUUCCAUCUAAAAUGAAAUUAAAGAAAGCCAAAACUAAUGCAGUAGAACAGAUAAUUGAGAAUGUAGAAUUUUCUUAUAUUAGUUCCAUCUGUUUAAAAAAAAAAAGAUUGCAAGGUAAAUCAGUAGUAAGAAAGAAAAAUAUGGAAUACCCACAAAGGGAUUGCGAACAAACAAGCCGAUUUAGAUCAAAAAAAUCAGAUUGAGAAACCAAUUAUUCAAGAACCGUGAAAGAACUGGAAAAUAUAAUGGUUAGGAACAAAAACGAUUACCCUCUUUUUAUUUGUCAACAACCACUUGAUUUUAAGUCUUUGAACAUAAAUUUAUCGACAAAGAAGACAUACUUGGACCCUCCAUUGAAUCCAUCUUUUGUUUUUCUAUGUUGAAUAAAAAAUUCAAUCGAAACACACAAUCUGAUUUCUACUAUUUUGAUUCAAUACAGAUCAUAAUAGUUUUUUCAGUCAAAUGAAAAAGAAAACUAUUUUUCCUAUUUUAUGGAAAAUUAUCCUUUUUUGUAUAAUUAUAGGUGUUUCAUCUAUUUUAUGGUCCUUACAGUGCUGACACGACCGUUAACAACAUUAACGUGGCGCUUUAUGUCAGCAAUAGUUAGCUACAAUGUCAGCAAAAAUAAAAAAAAUAAAAAUUAAAAGGAAUAUUUAAAUUUAUUUUACUAGAAUGAACCUAAACAUAUAGUUGUCCAAGUUCAUUCGUUUCAAAACUUAAAUUUUUUUUAAAUUUAAAAAAAUUAAGUUUUUUAUAAAUGUGUACAACACUAUUAAAAUUUAAUAAAAAUAUUUAAAACUUAAGUCCCUAAUGAAUAUGUCCAAAUUCAUUCAAGAUUAGUUUCAAAUAUACUAAAAUUAAUUUUCUUUAAAAAUUGAUAUGUGUGUCAAUAUUUUUCUAUUGCUACCUCUUAGGAUGAAUAAUAUAUAUAUAUAUAUAUAUCAAUUUAAAGAAUUUAAAUUUUAUUAAUCAUACUUCUAAAGAUUUUUUAAAUGUAUGAAUAUAUCCAAUUAAAACAGUGUAUCUAUUAUUUCAUUACAUGUGUAGCCUAAAAGGUUUAAAAAAUUAGAUAUAUUCAUACAUUUAAAACAACUUUACACAAACAAUUAAUAAUAUUUAUUUUUAUUUAUUUUCUGAAAUAUAUUUUUUUUAAUUUUUAUACAUUCUAAAAUGUACCAAUGGAAUUAGAACAUUGAUACACGUAUCAAUUUUUUUAAAGAAGAUUAAUUUUUAAUAUUUUUUAAACUUUGUACAAUUUAGAAAAACUUGAAUGAAUUUAGACAUAGAAUUAACUUGUAAUUGGUUUUUAUUAAUUUUUAUUUUUUUAAUUUAUUUAAUAUUUUAUAAAUUUUAAUAAUAUUUUAAAAUUUUAUAAAAUUUUAAAAAACAUUAUUUUUUAAAUAUUAUUUUUAAUUUAAAAAUUUUUUAAGCUUCGAAACAAAUGAACUUGGUACUGCGACAUCAACAACUAUUCCUUUUAAAAAUUUUAAAUAUUCCAUUUAAUUUUUUUUAUUUUUGUUGACAUGGCAGUUGACGUGGUAUUGCCACAUAAGCAACUAUCGCUAACAUGAAGCACCACGUUAACGCUGUUAAUGGCCACGUCAACGUUGUAACGGUCAAUAUUAGUCAAAGGGCCUAUUUGGCCAAUUUUGUUAGUUCAUGGGCUCAAUUGGGUGCAAAAAGUUUGCAAGGGCUUAAUUGAUUUUUUUGAAAAAGUUUGAGGACCAAAAAUACCAUUAAACCCUUCUUUAACUAUUGAUAUUUCUUUUUCUAAGUAUCGGUCAACAUUAGUUAAAGGACUUAUUUUGUCAGUUUUGUUAGUUUAAGGGCUCAGUUGGGUGCAAAAAGUUUGCAGGGGCUUAAUUAUUUUUUCGAAAAAGUUCGACAAUCAAAAAUACCUUUAAGCCCUAGUUUAACUAUUGAUAUGUCUUUUUUAAUUAAUUUUGCAUUCGUGCAUAGUAUAGGCACACGAUGUAUGGGGUAUUUCCACGUAUACAUGUAAAGUGUAUUUUGAUGCCACGGCGAAAUUAGAUGAAAAUGUGAUUAUUAAGGUAGUAAUGUAACCUUCUAGUGUCACGGGCCUCAGUGCAAAGCCCGUGACCAUGGCACAAGAUGCGCCCCAUGGAGGUCUAUCAAUAAGAUGAGGAACAUUUAGCCCACAAGAGCUGGCCCGAUUCAGAUAACUAUUGGAGAAGCCUAUCAGAUUGAAGCCUGGUUGGCCCAAUGAUGAAAACAUGGCAACUUAGGCUAAUAUGGUAACUAAUCUUAGAAGAUAGAGAUAAUCAUAUCUUGUAAAGAUUAGAUUUGAUUUGAUAUAGCAUAUCUUGUAAAAUCCCUAAAAUUAAGGGAUAUGGUUAAUCUUGUCCGUCGAUGUAAAUGUAUCUUGACAGUCGAUUUUGGGGGAGCUCAACUAUAAAUAGAGAGCCUCCCCCUCAUUUGUACUCAUUCCAUUGUAUUCUGAAUUCUUAAGAGUAAUAGAGUUCUGAGAGCAUUUACUCAAACACCUUGUGUGCAUUCUUUUUUUUGGCUUUCUAUUGUUCUUUGACUUAGCUUCUUUUGGCCUAAAUCGUUUCCGCUCUUCAAUUGGUGCCUUGGAGGAGUUCUUAAGGAAUCCUCAUUUGAGUUAAGGCUGACUUAGGCGAGUUUGGACGAACGGAUCACCUAAGGCCACACGGGUUGCGAGACGAAAACUCUAGCCCCGUGACAAGUGGUAUUAGAGCAAGGUUUGAACCAAGUAAUAUCUGAGUUGUUGGUUCAAAGGCACUGUUGGGAUGUCGAAAGAAGUUGUUGGUCAGAAUGAGCCAAUGGAGACCCGAGGAAGGGCCAGAAAUGUGAGUCGAUCAAGGGACUUAUUGUCAGCUUUAGAGGAUCGAGUUGUCACUCUCGAAGAGUCCAUGGGGGACGUCAAGGAAAGGAUCGACGAUGUCGAUGAUAGACACAAUGAUGGGUUACGAACAUUACAGGAACAACUCAGGGAAUUUGUGUGGGACACUAUCGGUUCCUCUGAGAAUAAGCUGGCUGAAAAGAACGAUGCUCUCGAGGCUAUGGUGACAGCCUUGAAGGAGGAGAUCAAUGAGCUUAAGAGGGAGCUCAAGAUUUUCAAGGCUGCCAUAGGGAAUGGAAUGUUGGUUUUAAAUCUGAAGCCACAAGCAAUGGAUAUGCCCAAGCCGAAGGCGUUUAAAGGGGCAAGGUCUGCAAGUGAAGUGGACAACUUUUGUUGGGCCAUGGAGCAAUACUUUUGUGCGAUGAACAUCGAAGAUGAUGUCACAAAGGUAAACACUGUUGCUAUGUAUUUCACUGAUGUUGCUUUGUUAUGGUGGCGACGUAGGUCCACUGAUGUGAGACGUAGUGGGACCGAGAUUGGGACUUGGAAGGAGUUCCAAAGUGAAUUUAAAGUACAGUUUUACCCCGAGUAUGCCGAGGACGAAGCUCGAGCAAAGUUGCGACGGCUAAUGCAACGAGGCACGGUUAAGGAGUAUGUACAGGAGUUCAGUAAACUCAUGCUCCAAAUCUCUGAUUUGAGCGAGAAGGAAGCAUUUUUCUCCUUUACAGAUGGGCUGAAACCAUGGGCGAAGCAAGAAUUGCACCGUCGAGGAAUUUAGGAACUUACCAAUGCCAUAAUGGUAGCGGAGUCCAUAGUGGAACUUGCUCCGAGAAGGGACAGGUUUGAAUCUUCCAAGCCCAGCAGGAGGGGCAAUGGUGGGUAUCAUGAGGAGGAUGAAGAGGGACAAAGCUAUGAUGGCAACGCAAGUAGUAGCGAUGGUGAUGAUAGGAAACCACAAGUUGGGAAGAAGAAACCCAAGAGGAAAAGAGACAAGCUGAAAUGCUUUCUCUGCGACGGUCCACACAUGUUGAAGAAUGUCCAAAAAAAUCCGCGCUUAAGGAGAAGCCGGUGGGAAAGGCCUUGGUACUUGGUUCAAGUGCAAGGGGUGUCGAAGCCAAGGAGGCCGAAAGCGAGAAAAAGCCAGUGGAGUUCUUCUUGCGUCAUGGUCUGUAUAGGUUGCGGAAGUGUCCAAGGAAGUCUAUCAUCGAUGGGAAUGAUGGAGUAGACAAAGAGCCCAAGAAGCUUGGUUCGAGCAAGGGAAAAGCCGAAGCCAAGAGGGCAAAGAGGAGCAAAAAGAAGCGAGUAAAGUGCUUCUUGUGCCGUGGUUCGCAUGAGAUACAGAACUAUCCAAAGCAAGCCAGAGUAAAAAGAAAGGCAACGUCUGAACUUGGUGAGUCAUCAGAGGGACUUCCACUUAAGGAAGAGGUGAGUUUGUCAUCGGACUUAGAGGAAAGAGUUACGAUGAAAACAGUGAAGUUGGGACCAAUGAGGCUCAAGUUGAGUAAAGCGUCGGAGUUGGCCGAGUCAUCGACUAGGCUUCCACCUAUGGGAGAGGUGGGUGGUGCAUCAGACUUCAAGGGAAAAGAAGUGAUGCAUGUGGGACAGUUGACCAGAGUAAAUACGAAGGUACAUUUCGAACACUGUGAUAGUGUUUUGCAUUCUAACUUGUUGACUUGGCAAGAACGUAGGGGCCCUUUCGAAGUUCUUGAGCAGAGAGGCCGAGAGACUGUGGGUAAAGCGAAGCCAAGUGUGGUGAAUCAAGAGGAUUCUGUUCGAGCAAAGUUAGAAUGUGGACAAGAGAGUGACAUAACUUCUUGUCAUCGAGAUGCACAAACGAGUAGGACGGUUCGAGUGAAGAAGUGACGUAAGCCGAAGCAAAAGUCCCGAAAGAAGGAAAAGGCUAAGGCGUUGAGACGAGAUCGAGGCGAAUCAAGCCAGUGCCAUUCGGAAGUCGCAACAAGGACGUUGCGAGAAUGGGUGGGGGAGAAUGUCACGGGCCGCAGUGCAAAGCCCGUGACCAUGGCACAAGAUGCACCCUAUGGAGGUCUAUCGAUAAGAUGAGGAACAUUUAGCCCACGAGAGCUGGCCCGAUUCAGAGAACUAUUGGAGAAGCCUAUCAGAUUGAAGCCUGGUUGGCCCAAUGAUGAAAACAUGGCAACUUAGGCUAAUAUGGUAACUAAUCUUAGAAGAUAGAGAGAAUCAUAUCUUGUAAAGAUUAGAUUAGAUUUGAUAUAGCAUAUCUUGUAAAAUCCCUAAAAUUAAGGGAUAUGGUUAAUCUCGUCCGUCGAUGUAAAUGAAUCUUGACCGUCGGUUUUGGGGGAGCUCAACUAUAAAUAGAGAGCCUCCCCCUCAUUUGUACUCAUUCCAUUGUAUUCUGAAUUCUUAAGAGUAAUAGAGUUCUGAGAGCAUUUACUCAAACACCUUGUGUGCAUUCUUUUCUGUGGCUUUCUGUUGUUCUUUGGCGUAGCUUCUUUUGGCCUAAAUCGUUUCUGCUCUUCAAUUGGUGCCUUGGAGGAGUUCUUAAGGAAUCCUCAUUUGAGUUAAGGCUGACUUAGGCGAGUUUGGACGAACGGAUCACCUAAGGCCGCACGGGUUGCGAAACAAAAACUCUAGCCCCGUAACACUAGUAAACGUAAAGAAUUAUAAUUUUUCUAGAUGCAUUUGGCUAGUAGAGUAUAAUUAUAUUGUAAUUCUUUGUGCCUUGUUUAGUAAUAUAAAUUGUAAUUGCACAUUUACAAAUUUUAAAUUGUUUAAAAAGUAUUAAUUACUAUAAAUAGUUAUCAGUAAUACCUGAGAAAAAAUUUUAAACAAGUGACAUAAAUUAAAAUCAAAUCAUGUUCUGUUAGUCCAAGAAAGUAACCGACAACACGAUUGCCGAUAAAAAAGAACAAGAAAACUAAACAUCAUAUGCAACUUUAUUAUUGCUCUAGCAUUCCAUGUUUGUUGGGUUAUUCCUUUUCUAACAUUUAACAUAUACUUCUUAUCAUCAUCUAUUAGUUCUUGACCAAUUUCUUCAUUGUUGAUACAAGGUACAACAAUGGAGGGGAGUAAGGAGGAUGUAAGGUGGAGUGAGUGGUGGAAAAGUAUUAAUAAGAGAGGUUCUCUUGUCCAUUAGCAUGACAUGGCAGGAUAAAUGUUCAGUCCCACCAAAUGUGUAAAGGAUAUUCAUGAACAUAAAGGAUAUUCAUGAUGGGGGCACGUUAUGUUACUCAUUCGAUCAGUACAAGGUUAAUACGCCCAUGCAAGUCCUAAUGGCCUCAAGGAUUUGUUCACACCAAAAAAAAAAGGGUGCUAGCCUUUCUAAAGGGUUGGUGCUCCUUUGAUCUUAGUGGAUGGUUCAGCGAGACAUCUUCUUAGGCAGACUCAAUGAGAGGGUUAAUGUUGUCUAUACAGUUGACACGUGUCCAUGUGGCGGGGGUAUAAAAUUCAUCAUCUAAAUCAAAUUUUGAAUAUGCAUAAUUAAGAUUAUCCAGAUCAUUUUUUUUAUCUGUAUCAUUAAGACUAUCAAGAUCUAUUUUUUUUCCAUGUAUUGAUUGAAAGCAUUGAUAAUUCCAAUUCCACCUAUAAAUGGAAUUGUGAAGUAUACAACAAGUUCGAACGAUUGAACAUUGUUUUUUAGACUAUAUUGAUGUGGUUUGUUAAUAUGGGAAAUAUUUUUUUAGAACAAGAAAUAUCCUCUCAACCACAUUUCAAAGCUUUGAAUAAAGAGUUUGCGAGCCUUGUUUGGUACUUGUGUCUAGCUGUGUUCGUUCAAAUGAUAUCGUACCCCAUAAUAUACUGCAAGAAAACCUUUUGCAAUUGCAUAAUCAACAUCUACCACAUAAUAUUUCCUAAAAACAUGUAACAAUUUAAAUAAUUUGUGAGACAAAUAAAAUAACAGCAAGGUGAUGAUAAUAUUAAUGUAUUUAUGAAAUACAAUUUUGAUCUAUUUUCUCUCCCAAACAUCAUUCUUAGCAUUCUAGUAUUUGAGGCACAAAUCAACUUUAAAAUCCUUCAAUUAUAAUAGUUUUUAUAAAUCCAAUUUGCGGUUUACUAUGUGUUCAAAUAAUAAACCAAAUUAGAUAAAAUAAAUAAUAUAAAUUUUCUAAUAUAACAUUUAUAAACAAUGUUUUCUAUAAAGUGUUGAAUAGCUUUUAUGGUGCUUAUGUUAAAGUGCUCAAAUAUGUGGCCAUACAAGAAUAGUAUAAAAAUUAUAAUACAUGCUUUAUAAGCACAAUUUGUUAGGUUAAAAUUUGUUUUAUAAAACAUAGGAGUUAAGUGAGAUGAAAAGGGUUUCUCCUACCUCAAUCAGUAAUUGAGGGUUUGAUACUGUAUUGGAGUUGGUGGUUAUGGUAGUGUUUACAAAGCAAAACUCCCUUGUGGUAAAGUAGUUGCUUUGAAGAAACUUCAUCAUUUAGAAGCCGAAAAUCCAACUUUUGACAAGAGUUUCAGGAACGAGAUCAAGUUUCUAUCAGAAAUACGACAUCGAAACAUAGUGAAGCUUCACGGGUUUUGUCUACACCGACGAUCCAUGUUUUUGAUCUAUGAAUACAUGGAAAAAGGGAGUUUGUUCUGCAACCUAAGGGAUGAAGUGAACGCUGUGGACAUGGAUUGGACGAAAAGAGUAGAGAUCAUCAAAGGCAUAGCACAUGCUUUGUCUUACUUGCACCAUGAUUGCUGCCCUCCGAUAGUUCAUCGAGACAUAUCAAGUAACAAUGUUCUUUUAAACUCAAGUUUUGAGGCCUUUGUGGCCGACUUUGGAACAGCUAGAAUGUUGGAUCUUGAUUCAUCCAAUAAGACCAUUAUUGUCGGAACUUAUGGCUACGUAGCUCCAGGUGGCGUUUUCUUUUUUACUUGAUUUACUGACCUUUUCUCUGAACAUAUAGUUGAAUUUCUUCUUACUAAUUUGUGUAUGUAGAACUUGCUUAUACAAUGAUUGUCACCGAAAAAUGCGAUGUUUAUAGUUUUGGAGUGGUAGCACUGGAAACGUUAAUGGGAAAGCAUCCUGAAGAAGUGUUAUCAUGGUUGUCAUCACCAAGUUCCUUGGUAAACAUGAAGCUGGUUGAUGUGUUAGACAACCGUUUACCACUUCCAACAAGCCAACUAGUUACACAAAAUCUUGUUUAUGUUGCUACACUGGCAUUCGCUUGCUUAAAUCCACAACCGAAGCCCCGACCAACAAUGAAAGAAGUGUGUGAAGAGUUCCUUUCUCGCCAUACAUCCUUGGGAAUUCCUCUUCGGAUGAUCUCUUUGUUACAACUCAUGAACCGUGAAAUGCAUAUUGGAGGCAAAACUAAAACUUGUGAUGUUUAAAGUCCAUGAGCUUGUUGAUUAGAUAUUGUUUAUCAUGCUCUGAUAAUUUGUUUGUAAACCAUCUCUGGUUUUAUAUAUGAUGGAAUGAAUUGCAAUGUUUAAUAAACCUGUUUAUUCGGUUGCUUUAGAAGACAUAAAUUCUGCAAUUUGAUCCAAAUAUUAAGACAUCAUCGCUGGCUGCUUCCUUGAAUUUUGUGCUUCUUUCAAACCAACUCAAAGAUAAAUAACAUAAAAGUAAAUUAAGGGUGAAUCAAAGCAACAAAAUGCAAUCAAUACAUACAUCAAGAAUUCACCUCAACUAUCUAUAAUUCAUGAAACAAUCUCUCAACUUAUAAAAUGUAAGUGAGAUUCCACAGACCUGAUAUCCAAACUCAAAAGCAAUAAAAGGCGUCAUCAGAACCCUGGCAAGUGAAGACGACAUUCUUUUCAAGCAAGGUAGCGAUACAACUUCCUGUCACCUUUAUCCCUCUACAGGAACUCACAUUAGUAUACAUUUUUAUUUAACAUAUUAUAUAAAUUACACUUUAUAAAUCAAAAAAACAAAUGAAACUCUGAGUAUUACAUAUAUAAUAAUAUACUGCAUAUUUCCUAAAAAAUGAUAAUAUACCGCACAUGUUACAAUGCAUUUUCAAAAAAAAGAAAAAGAAAUGUGACCAUAAUAUAUAAUUUAUAUUACAAACAAAGGUACUCAUAUUUUAUAGUUCAUCAUUUUUAAUGUUUGGGACUGUAGUCGGCCAUCACGAUUUGGUUGGUAACAAAUGAAUAUAUUAUGGAUAAACUAUUAUAGAGUUUACAAAAUUACUGCUUUUUAGUCACUCGAUUAUAAAAAGUUAUAAAAUAGCCAUUUAAUUAUUAUUAAAUUACAUUUUUGAUUAAAUGCAAAAAGUACAUAUCUUAUGUAAUUUAAUUGGUCAAAUUAUGAGAAUGAACCAUUGAUUUUCUCCAUGUUUAUAUUAAAUUUUAUACAGGGGUGCAAUUUGGGGUCAAAAGAGAAAAAGGAGAAGCAAUUGGGCUAGAUUGAAGAAAGGAGCAAAGAAGGCGAGCCAAAACAGAAUUUUUCCAAGUUGUAAUUAGCUGAAAUUUUAUUUUGACUUAGUGGGGGAUUAUGUAGAGAUUUUGAUAUCGUAGGAAUAUGUUUUUUUCCUUGAUUUUCUAUGGCUAGUGGCCUUUAAUUUGGCAAAUUUGUUCAAAGCCACUAGUAUAAAUAGAGGGCUACUAUGUUCAUUUAAUCAUCAAGUUUUUCAAUCAAGUUUUUAAUCAAGCUUUUAUCUUUUGAAUUCAAUCUUCUUUCCUUUUUGCAAAUUUAUUUGCUGACAUUAAUUCCUUAUAUUUUUCCAUUUAUUAGUUUCCAGCUUUGGAACUACUGCACCCAAACCUUGCCUCACCCACAUACAUCCACUUACAUUUCUUUUUCAUUUAUCCAACCCUCUCCAAAUAUGCCCAACUCCAACAUGCCCCAAACCUAGUCAACUAAACCCAUUUCAGCUUUAGGUCGGUGUUAACUUCGUCUAGACCGGUGAGUUAUGAACCCGAGCAAUUUAAAUCCUGAAUUCUAGUAUUUAUUAUUUCUCUGGAUUAAGAGUAUGAUUUCAUCAACUCACAAAGUCAAAUCAACACUAAGUCAAAAAAGACGUCGUUUGAGUUAGUGUGGUUAGACGUACAAUUGGGAUUCCGAAAGGAUCGAUUGUCUAAUCAGUUUUCCGUGAACACAUUGGCGUGCCAAGUGGGGAUUCUUGUUUGGUUCCGUCAAGGGAAGUAGUAAUCGGAUUUAAAUGUCCCACGCGAUUGAGGGCAUUGGUUCGUGCUAAGCUCUUCUAGAACGCAAAGAUGUAGGAGUUCUAAAUCACGAACGUUUUGUAGGUUGUUUGAUCGGCAAUGGUUAGUUAUAGGACAUUUCAUAACUAAUUUACACAAGGAAGAGUUGGUGUCCGAGGUGUCUUUGGUAGCUAUAACUAGCUUAUUGGAAAAGAGAAGUUCAUCUAAUUUCGAGGAUCGGUUCAAAGACGGAAAAACUCAUGCCUGAAGCUGAGCUAAAUUUAAUUGAUUUUUCUUCAAAUUUACUUAACUGUUUUUAUUAUUUAAUUGUUUCCAGCUUUUACUUUUUACGCAUUUUUUCCCCUGUUUAUUUCAGGUUUCAAAUUUUAUCCCCCCAAAUUUCUUGGGCAUGACAACUUCCCAAACAUAAAUAUGGUCGAGAGAGAGAAACAAUUUUCAGUAAUCUAGUCUCUAAGGGAUUGAUCCUACUCCCUAUAUUGCUCAAAUUUGCAAAUUAGGUGUAGGAUUUUAUUGGUGGAAUCAACAACCAUCAGUUUUGGCGCCGUUCCCGGGGACUGGCAACACUCACAAUUGUUUAAAUCGUCUUCAUGACUAAAUCUUCAUCCAGAGAUCUCGAAUACGACCCAGAGAUUUGAGAAAUCAAAAUGAGCACGACGAAAAAAGACAGAAGCUCUUAAACAUGCAAGUAAAGAAAAAGUUGAGCUAGGACAAGGGAUCUUAGAAUCCGACGUCGAAAAGUUGAGCUAAGAAAUUCGGGCAGAGGCAAUUCAACGUGGGAAACAAGUCAAAGUGGUUGAACCUGAGACCGAACCACUUUUUGAAAAAAAGAAGCAGAAGACAACCUCGGUGAACCAGAAAGGAUGGAAAACCGAACCAUUCGUCAACUAGCCACAUAAGCAACUAUUCCUUUUAAAAAAUUUAAAUAUUCCUUUUAACUUUUUAUUUUUGUUGACAUGGCAGCUGACAUGGUAUUUCCACAUAAGCAACUAUCGCUAACAUGAAGCACCACGUUAGCGCCGUUAAUGGCCACGUCAAUGUUGUAACGGUCAAUAUUAGUCAAAGGGCCUAUUUGGCCAAUUUUGUUAGUUCAGGGGCUCAAUUGGGUGCAAAAAGUUCGUAGGGGCUUAAUUGAUUUUUUUUGAAAAAGUUCGAGGACCAAAAAUACCAUUAAACCCUUCUUUAACUAUUGAUAUUUCUUUUUCUAAGAAUCAGUCAACAUUAGUUAAAAGGCCUAUUUUGUCAGUUUUGUUAGAUUAAGGGCUCAGUUGGGUGCAAAAAGUCUGCAAGGGCUUAAUUGAUUUUUUUGAAAAAGUUCAACGAUCAAAAAUACCUUUAAGCCCUACUUUAACUAUUGAUAUGUCUUUUUUAAUUAAUUUUACAUUAGUGCAUAGUACAGGCACACUAUGUACGAGGUGUUUCCACAUAUACAUGUGAAGUGUAUUUUGAUACCACGGAGGAAUUAGAUGAAAAUGUGACUAUUAAGGUAGUAGUGUCACCUUCUAGUAAUUGCAAAGAAUUAUAAUUUUUUAGAUGCAUUUGGCUAGUAGAGUGUAAUUAUAUUGUAAUUCUUUGUGCCUUGUUUAGUAAUAUAAAUUGUAAUUACACAUUUACAAAUUUUAAAUUUUUUAAAAAGUAUUAAUUACUAUAAAUAGUUAUCAAUAAUACUUGAGAAAAAAUUUUAAAUAGGUGACAUAAAUUAAAAUCAAAUCAUGUUAUGUUAGUCCAAAAAAGUAACCGACAACACGAUUAUAUGCAACUUUAUUAUUGCUCUAGCAUUCCAUGUUUGUUGGGUUAUUCUUUUUCUAACAUUUAACAUAUACUUCUUAUCAUCAUCUAUUUGUUCUUGACCAAUUUCUUCAUUGUUGAUACAAGGUACAACAAUGGAGGGGAGUAAGGAGGAGAUAAGGUGGAGUGAGUGGUGGUUUUGUGGAGGCCAGUUCACUUAAAGAGGCAGAGAGCUAGAAAGGAAUAAGAGGACAAGCUGAUUGCUGAAAGAAAAGAUGGUUGUUCAGAGUAACUUUAAGGGUUGGAAAAUCGAUCCAUUCUUCAUCGUUGGAAAGGUAUUUAUAAAAGAGGCCCUCUUGUCCAUUAGCAUGAUGUGGCAAGAUAAAUGCUCAGCCCCACCAAAUGUGUAUAUUCACGAACAUGAAGGAUAUUCAUGAUGGGCCCUAUUCUAUUAUCCAUUCGAUCAGUACAAUGUUGUUACGCUCAUGCAAGUCCUAAUGGCCUCAAGGAUGUGUUCACACCAAAAAAAGGGGUGCCUAACCUUUCUAAAGGGUUGGUGCUCCUUUGAUCUUAGUGGAUGGUCCGGCGAGACAUCUUCUCAGGCAGACUCAAUGAGUGGGUUAAUGUUGUCUAUACUGUUGACACGUGUCCAUGUGGCGGGGGUAUAACAUUCAUCAUCUAAAUCAAAAUCUGAAUAUGCAUCAUUAAGAUUAUCUAGAUCAUUUUUUUAUCUGUAUCAUUAAGAUUAUCAAUAUCUGCUUUUUUUUUCAUGUACUGUUUAAAAGUAUUGAUAAUUCCAAUUCCACCUAUAAAUGGAAUUGUGAAAUAUACAACAAGUUAGAACGAUUGAACAUUGUUUUUCAGACUAUAUUGAUGUGGUUUGUUAAUAUGGGAAAUAUUUUUUUAGAACAACAAAUAUCCUCUCAACCACAUUUCAAAACUUUGAAUAAAGAGUUUACGAGCCGUGUUUGGUACUUGUGUCUAGCUCUGUUCUUUCAAAUGAUAUUGUACCCCGUGAUAUACUGUAAAAAAACCUUUUGCAUUUGCAUAAUCAACAUCUACCGCAUAAUAUUUCCUAAAAAACAUGUAACAAUUUAAAUAAUUUGUGAGAAAAAUAAAAUAACAGCAAGGUGAUGAUAAUAUUAAUGUAUUUAUGAAAUACAAUUUUGAUCUAUUUUCUCUCCCAAACAUCAUUCUUAGCAUUCUAGUAUUUGAGGCACAAAUCAACUUUAUAAUCCUUCAAUUAUAAUAGUUUUUAUAAAUCCAAUUUGCAGUUUACUAUGUGUUCAAAUAAUAAACCAAAUUAGAUAAAAGAAAUAAUAUAAAUUUUAUAAUAUAAUUGUUAUACCUAAUUUUAGCUCGGGCUCACAUAUGGAAACAUAUUUUUUGAGGAUAUGCAAUCUUAUAUAUGAUAUGCAAUCCUAGAUAUGAUAUAUGCAAUCUUAGAUAUGAUAUGCAAUCUUAGAUAUGAUGUAUAAUCUUAGAUAUGAUAUGCAAUCUUAGAAGAUAUGAUUUUGAAAUCUUAGAGAUACCCUUUAAUCUCAGCCGUUGAUGUAAUUGAUCUGUACCGUUGGAUUUGGGGAGGCUCAACUAUAAAUAGAGGCCUCUCCCUUCAUUGCAUGAGGAGAAAAAAAGAGGAAAGGGAGGAAUAAAAAAAGAGAACGAUUGACAGUUUUUUAAAGGUGGCUUACUAUUUUUUUCGUUUGAUUAUUUUGUACUUAUUUACAAUUUUAAAAAAGGAGAAGGUGAUACCACUACGAAUUUUAUUUAUUUAUUUUUUAUUUAGCCCCUCCGCCUUUUAAUGUCUUUAUAAUUAGGUUUUUUUUAUUUUUUUAAAAAUUUUGCCCUUUAAUUUAUUUUAAUUUCAAUUUAACCCUUCUUGAACGACACCGUUUUAGAGGAGAAGGGAAAAUUUCCCUUCCAGCCCCUUUAUGUAAUUCGCGUAUUCAAUUUAGUCCUCCAGACUUUAUUUAUUUGCGAAAUUACCCCAUAUUUUUUAUUUGUAAUCCAAUUUAGCCUUUUUUUCAUAUUUUCUUCAAAAAUCAAUAUUUUUUUGAUGAUGCAAUUGUUCUUAUCUUAUAAUUCUUAUCUGUAAUUAUUAUUAUAUUGUAUAUAUGUUUUUUAAAAAAACAUGUAGUUAUGCCUUUUUUUAAUUAGUAUUUUUUUCGCGUACUUAUAUAUAUAUAUAUACUUGUUUUAUUUAUUUAAUUAUCUUUGAUAUUAUUUAUUUCAAACCUAUGUAUUUUUAUGUGCACUUGUAUGUAUUUUUUGUUAUUUAUUUUAAUUAUUCGCUUAUUAAUUUAUGUUUGCAUAUUUUCUGCUCAUUUAUUUAAUAUCUUUUGCAUGUCAUUAUUUAUAUUCAAUUGUUUGUAUUAUUUCCAUGCUAUUAUUGUACUUGUUAUCAUUGUUAUUAUGACAUUUGCGCAUAUAAAAUAAUGUUACAUUAUUUUUUAGAAAAAACUCAAAUUUAAAAAUAUAAUUUUCAAAAUUGAGAUAAUACUCGUAUUUAGGAUUGCUCAAGGAAAUUGAGCCCUAACGUAUUGGGUUCCGAUUUUUUUGAAAAUCUAACAAUCGAGGAUUGCUCUUUAAACCAACUAAAAACUCAUUAUUGGGAAUUCAACACGUUGUGUCCUAACGUAUUGGAUGUGACGCAUUGAUUUCUCGAUGUAGAUUUUUUAAAAAUCAUAAAGGAAAUAUUCCGAGUUUGGGAUUUUUAAAGGAAUCGUGCCCUAACAUAUUGGGUGUGAUUUCUUAAAUCUUGGAUAAGUGGAUGUUCUUUUAAAGUAAAGGAAAUAUUCCGAGUUUGGGAUUCUAAAGGGAUCGUACCCUAACGUAUUGGGUGUGAUUUCUUAAAUCUUGGAUAAGUGGAUGUUCUUUUCAAGUUUUAUUGUACAAGUAUUUUGGCCCAAUUCAUUUUUGGGGGAAAAUUAGAAUGCUGUGCCCUAACGCAUUAGGUGUGGUAUCUUCUUUCUCUGAAAUAAAAAGGGUCUUAAUACGUAGCCUUUUAAGUUUUGCUAAGGAUUACGUUUUUCCAAAUUCUCGACCUUAAGAUACUAAUUAAUUAACCAGGUACAAAUUUUGGGCGUUACGAGGGUGUUAAUCCUUCCUCGAACGUAACUGACACCCGGAUCCGUUUUUCUAAAACUUGUAGACCAAAGCCGUUUUUUAGGUGAUCCAAUCACACCUCAAUAAAAGAUUGGUGGCGACUCCCAAAUUUUCAUUUUUUUUAAAGUCGACAACCUAAAAUUUUUGUUUUUCAAAAAAAUAGUUUCGACAAUAACAUUUAUAAACAAUGUUUUCUAUAAAGUGUUGAAUAGCUUUUACGGUGCUUAUGUUAAAGUGCUCAAAUAUGUGGCCAUACAAGAAUAGUAUAAAAAUUAUAAUACAUGCUUUAUAAGCGCAAUUGGUUAGGUUAAAAUUUGCUUUAUAAAACACAGGAGUUGAGUGAGAUGAAAAGGGUUUCCUACCUUAAUCAGUAAUCGAGGGUUUAAUCCUCGCCUAAGUAUGGAGUAGCUUUAAAACUUGUGGCCAGCAUCUACCCCCUUAAUGGGCCUACAAAAUGCGAAGGAUUAGUUACCGGGCGCGCUUCGGUAGAUACAUUGAGGAAUCAAAAAAAAAAAUUACACCAAAUAUUUUGACUUAUGUGUCUAAUAACAAAGCAGUUUUGACCCGAUAAGAAAUAUAUAAUUUUAUUUUAAAAAAUAUAUAAAAUAUAUGUCAUAAAAUUAAAAUUUUUUAUUAUUAUUGUAUUAAAAUAAAUUUUAUAAACUUCUAUAAAAAAUAAUUUCUUAAAUCAUGUACGUGUGUUUGAAAGACUAUAAGAUAAUUAGUAAUUGAUUGUAAUUACUCACGUAAUUACCUCAACUCUCAACUCCCUAAGAAUUGAAUAGUAUAAUUGAGGUGCUAUUAUAUUCAAUUUAGUGGACCCAACAAUUACAAUAGUUAGCCAAACAUACUAUUCCUUUGUACUUGCAAGUAAUUACACUUAAAUCUAAUAAUUAAUUCACAUUAAAUUUUUCAAAAUCAUACACUUUGGGGUCGAAAUUAAACUGAUUUUUUUUUAGUUUCCAAACAAUUGCAAAGAAAAUUCAUGAAAUUAAGUUGUUUUCAAAUAAUUAAUUCACAUUGGAAUUUUCAAAUAAGAUAUCACAUUACUAAUACUUCAAUCAUUAAAAUAUUAUAUAAGACAUUUUGCCUUAUACAGCAAAAUAUGAAAAUACUAAAACUUAAUCCAGUUUAAUCAUUCUAAAGUUUCUAAUUUUGUUUAAAAGUAUUUUCAAAUAUAUAUGAUUUUAAAUUUGUAUAUUUUAACAUGAAAUUCAUUAUAUUGUAGUAAGAUUUUAAUGUAAUAUGUUUAAUUUUUUUAAUUUAAUUCAAACAAUUUCACUCGAUUCAGCUCGACUCGAAUUUUAUUUCACUCAACUCAAUUUGAAAAAAAAAUUCUAAAUUGAAUUAAGAUGAUAAAAUAAGACUUGUCAACUCGAUUAACUCAAAAUUAUUUUACUCAAUCACCGCUAGCAAUUGCAUCCUUGAUACUAAUAACAACAUAAAAAUGUAUACUCAUCUUUUCAAAUUAAUAUGCAGCCACGAAAUGGAAAUUUCCAUGAAAAAAAAACUAUUGCAUAUGAAAAAGUAAGUUCCAUGACAUCGACUGAAGCAAUAACAACAAUUGCAAAAAGACAUUGACUCCUAUAGAAAUCCAUCAGUUUGGAAACUAUAACGUAUAUGCUACAACUGGGUUUUUUUCGUGUGUCACCCGUUAGGAUUUGAAUUAUGUUGGUAAUAAAUAUAAUCUAUUUUAAUUAAAAAAUGAGUAGAAUUUAGUAAUUUAUUAUGACCCAAAUUAUUGGUAAAGUUAAAAUUAAUUUUUUUUCGAACAAAAACUUUCGGUGCUCAGUACUUAUGUGUAAUUCAAUCUUCUCAUCAUAUAUUCCGAAUAAGCUAAAAGGUAUGGCAUGGUGUCUACCUUUGCUCAUCCAUGUCAGACUUGCAACUCCUUGUAUUCACCUUGAUUGUCGGCCUUCACUAAGGACUUAUAGUUAUACAAGUCAAGAGCAAAAAGAUAUGUCCCCUAAUAUCACUUUGGGUGAUGAGUCCUUUCUGAACCAUUCCAUCACCUUCAUAUGUCAUACCAUACCUAAAACAUUCUACUUUCAACAUCUAUCAAUGCGAAUCCAUUUGGUGAUGAAUCAAAGUAUGACGGUCAACAUACAAGUUUGUGUCUUAAGUCUAAGGAUCAUUUACACUACCAAUACAUGGGAGUAUUUCUAUAAACAUUUGAGUGAAAUACCAAAUGGAACUCUCAUAAUAGGCCAAGUUAUAUUUUAUAAUUUUUUCGAACUUUUUAAAAUCAUUAAUAUUUUAUUUUUUAUAUUUGUAAUACAAUAAUUUUAUAAUUUUUUUAUAACUUUUACAUUUUAAAAAUAUUUUAAUAACUUGAACAUCAAUAUAUACUUCCACACGGCAUGUCACAUGUCAACUUGCCAUAGCUUCCGUCAACUAAUCAACAACCAAUAUUGAUAAAAUCAGUCAACAACAAUUUUCGUUAUUGAAAAGAGCCAAUUGAUUUUUUUCCAUUGAAUCCUCAAUUGGGUCUGUUUUUCUAUUAUGAGCUUAAUUAAUUUUUAACUUUUUAUUAAGUUGUUUUUCCUUUAACCUUAUAUUAAUAUUCAUUACUUUAUUAAAAAAAACUUACUUUUAGGUAAUUUUUCCAACCAAAAUGAUAUCAAAUUAACUCGUAACAUAAAUUCAAUAAAAUAUAUUAUAUAAACAUAUACAUAAAUUCAUUAAAACCUGUCAAUAGUGAAAACACCAUUAAUUUGUCUGAAGUCUCUACUUUUGGGAUCUUAAUGGGGGAGAAAAUUUUUAGAUAGAAACUGAAUACGAUAUAUAAAGUAAAUGCCACGUUAAAAGCUCAGUUCUUUGGAAAAUAAAUUCCAUCACGACUGAACCAAAAAUUCCCUUGUGUCAUAAUCUUUUGUGGAAAAUUAGGCACAUAAUGGAAAAGUAUAUCCACAAAAUGAUAGAAAAAGGCUUUGGGCCACAAUUAAAUCAACAUCUUUAAAUUGUUAAAUCAAAUUAAAGAUGGAAUCGUCGUUGUCAUGGGAUCCACACGGGGUGUACGUAUAAUGAAUUUCCCAUGUUUUUUGCAUGAAACUUUUGAUUCAAUGAGAAAGGAAAUAUUUUCAAAAUCAUGCAGCUUCGGAUUCUAAUUAAGCUUAUUUUUUUCCAAGCAAUUGCAAAGAUUUGUUUCGACAACAAAUAAUAAUCGGAUAAAAGUGUAAUUAUUAAAUAGUAAUUACAAAAGAUUUAUAAUUACAAAAUUAGAUCGUAAUUUUCUAUAUCAUAUUUCGUAGUACAAAUUGUAAAUUAUAAUUAUAAUUACAUAGUUACUUAAUAUAUUUUUUUAAAAUAUUAAUUACUAUAAUAAAUUAUCAGUAAAAUUAAAAAAUUUCUAAACAAGUAACAAAAAUUAAAAUAAAAUCAUCAUAUUUAAUAUGUUAGCCCAAGAAACUAAUCGAUAAUGAUUACUAAUAAAAUUAUAAGAAAAAUGAUUUAUUUUAGGUUAUAACAAAUAUAUAUUUUUUUUUUGAACAAUGAGAUUUGAACCUAAGCAAUUCCUUGGAAAGAUGAAUACUCGACCAAUAGACUACAACUUAAAGUUUUUUAGAAUAUUAUAACCAUUUUUAUAAUUCAUGAAUUAGGUUAAAAUAGUAUAAAAUUUUAAUAUAUAACAAUUAUAAAAAAAUUAUAAAGUGUCCAAUAACUUCCAAAACACUUCUUAUAAAUAAUAUUUUUUUAUCUUUUUUUUUUUAAAUAAGUCAUGGCAAAAAAUUAUAAUUGUUUAUAAAUAAAUAUUAUUUUCUAUAACAUAUAGUAUAGACACAUAAGUAAGUUAUAUUUAAAUUUUUUGACCAUAACUUUUUUAUAAGUAAGUAUGUAGUACACUUUUUAUAAAACAUAAAUUAUUUUUAUAAUAUACUUUUGGCCUAUAACUUUAGAAACUUUUUAGGAUUUAAAUAAUAUAAUUCUUGUCAUAACUUUAUAAAAUAUUAAAAAUAUAUAAUAGUAAUUUUUAGAACUUAUAAUAUGAUUUUAGAAAUUUUUAUUCAUAAUCAUCCUAAACACGUAUGCGUAUUUAUGUUUAUAAAAUAAUUUUUUAACUUAAAUUUGUAUAAAAAAUAUUUUUUAAAGUUAAAUUAUGUAUGAAUUUUCCGUGAGAAAUUAAUAUAUCGGGAAACAUGCGUUGACAUAUACUUUUGAUAAAUUCAAAUCAGGAGGUAUCAUAAUUAUCAAGAAAUAUGGACCAUAGGAACAGCAAAGAUUCAAUCCUAUAAUAUAGUAUUUGCAUUAUUGAUACUAAACAUAGAAAUUCCAUGAAGAAGAAAGCAUUGCGCAUGAUGAAUUAAGUUCCAUGACAAGGACUAAAACAAUGACGAUAACUUGCCCCUACAACUAUUGCAACAAGAGCUUGAAUCCUUUGAUGAGUUCCUUUAAAUUCAUCGUUUGGAAACCAUAACAUAUAUGCUACCACUAAAUACUUACCAGAUUAAACAAUGGCCUCAUCCCUAACCAUUUCUGUUAUUCUAGGGGUACUGUGGGCUGCCAUCCUUCUUUCCUUUGCUACAACUGUAACAGCAGCAUAUCCAUCGCCAUUGGAGUCCGAAGCCAUAGCUCUGCUAGAAAGCAGGUGGUGGAGUAACCAUAGCAGCAAUACUUCACAACGUUGCCAGUGGCCUGGUAUAACCUGCAACACUGCUGAAAGCAUCACCAAAAUUAACUUAUCUGAUGCGCCCAACAUUGAGGUUGGAGAUAGAUUUGGGAAACUGAAUUUCUCUUCAUUUCCAAAUCUUGUCCUUCUUGAUCUUAGUGACCAUCAACUUAGAGGAAAAAUCCCGCAUCAGAUAGGUGAUCUAUCAGCAUUGAAGUACCUUGACUUGUCUUAUUGUGGUUUAUCUGGUGAGUUACCUCCUUCUCUAGGGAAGCUGACCCAAUUAGAAUUCCUCGACAUUUCCUAUAAUGAUAAUAUUAAUGGUUCCAUCCCUCCACAAUUGGGGAAUCUAGAGAACCUUGUGACUUUAAACUUAAGUCAAUGUGGAAUUGUUGGUCCAAUCCCUUCUGCUUUGGGUCAAUUAACCAGUCUCCAAUCUCUGAUCCUUUGGGGGAACCAAAUCAAUGGAUCUAUCCCAUUAGAAAUUGGAUAUUUGAGAAAUUUGACUUAUUUGAGUCUCUCCAACAAUAGAAUUGUUGGUCCAAUCCCUUCUGCUUUGGGUCAAUUAACCAGUCUCCAAUCUCUGAUCCUUUGGGGGAACCAAAUCAAUGGAUCUAUCCCAUUCGAAAUUGGAUAUUUGAGAAAUUUGACUUAUUUGAGUCUCUCCAAGAAUAGAAUUGUUGGUCGAAUCCCUUCUGCUUUGGGUCAAUUAACCAGUCUCCAAUCUCUGAUCCUUUCGGGGAACCAAAUCAAUGGAUCUAUCCCAUUAGAAAUUGGAUAUUUGAGAAAUUUGACUGAUUUGAGUCUCUCCAGCAAUGGAAUUGUUGGUCCAAUCCCUUCUGCUUUGGGUCAAUUAACCAGUCUCCAAUCUCUGAGCCUUUCGGGGAACCAAAUCAAUGGAUCUAUCCCAUUAGAAAUUGGAUAUUUAAGAAAUCUGACUUUUUUGGGUCUCUACAACAAUAGACUUGUCGAUUCAAUACCCAUUACUCUGUACCAAUUAACCAAUUUGGAAAUUUUGUACCUUGAUAAUAACCAACUUCAAGGUUCUAUUCCCCAAGAAAUUUGUAAUCUAGCAAAUUUAACUUCAUUGUACCUCUCCCAAAACAAAUUGACUGGUUCAAUCCCUUCUUGUGUUGGUAGUUUAUCAAAGAUGCAGGACUUAGCCCUUGGUUCUAAUCUAUUAAAAGGUCCUAUUCCCCAAGAAAUUUGUAAUCUAGCAAAUUUAACUUCAUUGGCCCUCUCCCAAAACAAAUUGAGUGGUUCCAUCCCUUCUUGUGUUGGUAGUUUAUCAAAGAUGUGGUACUUAAGCCUUGAUUCUAAUCUAUUAAAAGGUUCUAUCCCAAAAGAUAUUGGCAAGCUUUUUGAUCUAUCAUAUCUAAACCUUAGCUUCAACCAACUCUCAGG
RNAcentral lists this long non-coding RNA (25573 nucleotides) under Gossypium barbadense (sea-island cotton). Its description in RNAcentral is "long non-coding RNA (GBAR_LNC018990)". Lineage: Eukaryota; Viridiplantae; Streptophyta; Magnoliopsida; Malvales; Malvaceae. The record is from RNAcentral.